Molecule: long non-coding RNA, 389 nt
Filed under: Pongo abelii (Sumatran orangutan)
Lineage: Eukaryota; Metazoa; Chordata; Mammalia; Primates; Hominidae
Description: lincRNA
Source: RNAcentral
GGGAGCCUCCUGAUCUGUGAACCCGCGCUGGCGGGAGUAGCUACUGACCGCUGGGGACCCCUGCCCAGGCUGCUCCCAUGUGGAAAGGAUUCAGGGAGCAGGCGAUGCUUAGCCGAAAGCGUGGAGACCAGCGCUGCUCUCUCCCCAGCGACAGAUUUCAUGAGGCCCCUUGCCCAGAAUGUCCACGUUUGAAACCUCCCAACACCAAGCCCCAUUUCAAGUAUAACCAGGAGGGAAAAUGGUGCUUGAAAUAAGCAUGCCGCAAAGGAACACCUGCUUUCUCUAAAUGGGCUCUGGCCGCCCAGGCCCUGACCUCCCUGGCCAGGAUGGAACGUUCCAGAGACCUAUUAGUGCCAAAGGCAAAUUAAAACACACCCUGUGAAAAUGUC